CCGGAGGUUACUGCUAUCGGAGUUCGAUUAAGCCAUGCGAGUCUAAAGGUUUCUUCGGAAACCUUGGCGGACUGCUCAGUAACACGUGGAUAACCUACCCUUGGGACUGGAAUAACCCCGGGUUACUGGGGAUAAUACCGGAUAGAUCAGGGAUGCUGGAAUGCACCUUGAUCCAAAGCUCCGGCGCCCAAGGAUGGGUCUGCGGCCUAUCAGGUAGUAGUGGGUGUAACGUACCUACUAGCCAACGACGGGUACGGGUUGUGAGAGCAAGAGCCCGGAGAUGGAUUCUGAGACACGAAUCCAGGCCCUACGGGGUGCAGCAGGUGUGAAACCUUUACAAUGUGCGAAAGCAUGAUAAGGGAACUCCGAGUGCCAGUAUCUAAUACUGGCUGUCCUUGUGCCUAAAACGCACAAGAUAGCAAGGGCCGGGUAAGACCGGUGCCAGCCGCCGCGGUAACACCGGCGGCCCGAGUGGUAGCCGCUAUUAUUGGGUCUAAAGGGUCCGUAGCCGGUUCGAUAAGUCCUCUGGGAAAUCUGGUUGCUUAACAAUCAGACUGCCAAGGGAUACUGUCGAACUUGAGACCGGGAGAGGUAAGAGGUACUUCAGGGGUAGGAGUGAAAUCUUGUAAUCCCUGGGGGACCAUCUGUGGCGAAGGCGUCUUACCAGAACGGGUCUGACGGUGAGGGACGAAAGCUGGGGGCGCAAACCGGAUUAGAUACCCGGGUAGUCCCAGCCGUAAACGAUGCUCGCUAUGUGUCAGGUACGGUGUGACCGUAUCUGGUGCCGUAGGGAAGCCGUGAAGCGAGCCACCUGGGAAGUACGGCCGCAAGGCUGAAACUUAAAGGAAUUGGCGGGGGAGCACUACAACGGGUGGAGCCUGCGGUUUAAUUGGAUUCAACGCCGGAAAUCUUACCGGGGGAGACAGCAGCAUGAAGGUCAGGCUGAAGACCUUACCAGAUCCGCUGAGAGGAAGUGCAUGGCCGUCGUCAGUUCGUACUGUGAAGCAUCCUGUUAAGUCAGGCAACGAGCGAGACCCGUGCCCACAGUUGCCAGCAUACCCUUCGGGGUGAUGGGUACUUUGUGGGGACCGCCGCUGCUAAAGCGGAGGAAGGAGCGGGUUACGGUAGGUCAGUAUGCUCCGAAACUCCCGGGCUACACGCGGGCUACAAUGGUUG
This 1176-nucleotide ribosomal RNA is filed under the name uncultured archaeon. RNAcentral's name for it is "bacterial SSU rRNA". It matches the Rfam family "Archaeal small subunit ribosomal RNA", at positions 17 to 1192 of the family's 1478-position model. The record is from RNAcentral.